RNAcentral lists this long non-coding RNA (446 nucleotides) under Homarus americanus (American lobster). Its description in RNAcentral is "uncharacterized LOC121855552". Lineage: Eukaryota; Metazoa; Arthropoda; Malacostraca; Decapoda; Nephropidae. The record is from RNAcentral.
GUGGUAAUGCGGUAUUUUGGCAACUCUGCAUGACCCUAGGAGGCUUGGCUCGGUUUACAAAUUUGACAAGUACUGUACGCGAGACCUCAAACCUUCCAUUACCAUAACUGACAAUGACCCCCAUAGAAGAAAAGUACUGUAUGCAGGUUCUUGGUUUGGUUGAGGUGCUUGAACAUUGCUUGUCAUAAGGAUUAAACUUUCCGCCAGCAAUAUUCCACACAUAUACGCAGUGACCAUUUUGUCCGUGACCAGUACCUAAUGGUCAUAUUCUUCAUAAUUUGGAAGUUGAUGUACAAUAAUGACUUAAAUUACAAGUGUUCAAAAUAAGAUGGAUAGGAGUGCCCCAGAUAUGCUGAUGGACACAGAAGUUUGUCCAAGCAAGCCAAGCUAUAACUGCCACCAUACACACACUGUAGAUAAAGGUAAGUGAAUGUUAAAAUGUUUUC